CGGAUAGAGCUAGCGAAGCCGCUCGUAUUCAGCCAACAGCCCUGGGUCGCCUGUGGUAGCGUUUCUAAUCGAGCGCGGCUGCGGGUUUGAUCUGGGGCCGAGGUGCACUUGCGGGCGAUUGCGCCGAGACUUGCGGGGCAGCUGCUGGACGCGCGUGAAGAGGCUUCCCUUUGGGUUGAACCUGCUCGCGUUGACAGUUGUUUGCCUUGCUCGUAGAGGUCUGGCCUACGGACCCGGGACGUGUCGUCGUCUGGCCUCGCUGGUAUCGCAUGCGAUGCCUCGAGGUCGGGUGGCGGACCGGCCUGGUGUUCCCGGACCGGCUCUCGGUGUAAAAGCUGGUCAUCUCUCCGACCCGUCUUGAAACACGGACCAGGGAGUUUAGCGUAUGCGCGAGUCAUUGGGUGUGAAACCCACAGGCGCAAUGAAAGUAAAGGCUCGGUCGCCGGGCUGACAUGUGAGUGCCGAGGCCUCGGCCGAGGCACGCAGCAUGGUCCCGUUGUGGUCGCUUGCGACGCAGCGGAGACAGAGCGUAUGCGCUGAG
RNAcentral lists this ribosomal RNA (541 nucleotides) under Neobakernema variabile. RNAcentral describes it as "eukaryotic LSU rRNA". It matches the Rfam family "Eukaryotic large subunit ribosomal RNA", at positions 420 to 813 of the family's 3401-position model. The record is from RNAcentral. Lineage: Eukaryota; Metazoa; Nematoda; Chromadorea; Rhabditida; Criconematidae.